RNAcentral lists this ribosomal RNA (685 nucleotides) under uncultured Verrucomicrobiae bacterium. RNAcentral's name for it is "bacterial SSU rRNA". It matches the Rfam family "Bacterial small subunit ribosomal RNA", at positions 712 to 1391 of the family's 1533-position model. Lineage: Bacteria; Pseudomonadati; Verrucomicrobiota; Verrucomicrobiia. The record is from RNAcentral.
CGGGCGAAGGCAGCUACCUGGAUGAAUACUGACACUGAGGCACGAAAGCGUGGGUAGCAAAAGGGAUUAGAUACCCCUGUAGUCCACGCCCUAAACGGUGCACACUCGGUCUUAGCGGAUUUGACCCCGCUAGGGCCUGAGCUAACGCGUUAAGUGUGCCGCCUGAGGACUACGGCCGCAAGGCUAAAACUCAAAGGAAUUGACGGGGCCCCGCACAAGCGGUGGAGUAUGUGGCUUAAUUCGAGGCGACGCGAAGAACCUUACCAGGGUUUGACAUGCAGGAGACCGGGGGUGAAAGCUCCCUUCGGUAGCAAUACCGCUGCUGCACAGGUGCUGCAUGGCUGUCGUCAGCUCGUGUCGUGAGAUGUUGCGUUAAGUCGCGCAACGAGCGCAACCCCUGUCUUUAGUUACCAGCACGUAAUGGUGGGGACUCUAAAGAGACAAACCUCCUCUGGAGGUGGGAAGGUGGGGAUGACGUCAAGUCAGCAUGGCCCUUACACCCUGGGCUGCACACGUACUACAAUGCCCGGUACAGAGCGUUCCAAGACCGCGAAGUGGAGGCAAUCGCCAAAAGCCGGGCCCAGUUCAGAUUGGAGUCUGCAACUCGACUCCAUGAAGCCGGAAUCGCUAGUAAUGGCAUAUCAGCAACGGUGCCGUGAAUACGUUCCCGGGGCUUGUACACACC